Molecule: long non-coding RNA, 717 nt
Organism: Mesocricetus auratus (golden hamster)
Lineage: Eukaryota; Metazoa; Chordata; Mammalia; Rodentia; Cricetidae
Exons: 5
Source: RefSeq, a predicted model, not a curated record
UUGCUACUGGGAGCAAUGCCAGGAGCCCUGUUAACAUGGAAAGCAAGAUCAGGGUGGUGAGGAGAAUCAGCACCAGUGGCUGGAUUCUUGGUUUAGUUACAUAAUGCGAACAGAUUUCUACUUCUGGCCAAGAUCUAUCAAGGGGACCAAGAUUUCACCCUCCUGCCAGAGCAAAGGAAUGGAUGAACUGAAUAAGAGGAGCAAUUUCUUCAAUGUAAGGAGCAUGGGCCAUAGAGAAUGAGGCGACACACAUAGAGUGAAAAAGAUAUGUUAUGGUAAAAACCGUAAAUGGGAUGCAUCAGGCUGAGCUGACCAAACAUACUGCACUUUACAUUUUAUACGUCGGGAAUGCUUCCGUGAAGACAGUCAUCUGCUACCCAGACACAGAACUCUCUGCUCGUCUCCAGCACCACGUCUGCCUACAUGCUGCCAUGCUUCCAGCCAUGGCGACAAUGGACUGAGCAUCUGAAGCGGGGAAAUACCAACAGAUCACACCAGCAGCCCUGCGCUGGAUCAAAGCUACAGACUCAGGGGGAAGGACAUUUAAAAGUGACAAUCCAAUAGUGAAUUACCUCGGACUACCUCCUCCACGGACUCGGUGGUGGUGGUGGUGGUGGUGGCGAUGCUGGUGGUCCUCUCUGUCGCCUCUUCGUAGGGCUCCUCGGCCUCCUCCUCCACCUCAUCCCCGUCCUCCACAUCCUCAUCGUCAUCAGCUUC